UUCGGCAAUGGACGAAAGUCUGACCGAGCAACGCCGCGUGAGUGAAGAAGGUUUUCGGAUCGUAAAGCUCUGUUGUAAGUCAAGAACGUGUGUGAGAGUGGAAAGUUCACACAGUGACGGUAGCUUACCAGAAAGGGACGGCUAACUACGUGCCAGCAGCCGCGGUAAUACGUAGGUCCCGAGCGUUGUCCGGAUUUAUUGGGCGUAAAGGGAGCGCAGGCGGUCAGGAAAGUCUGGAGUAAAAGGCUAUGGCUCAACCAUAGUGUGCUCUGGAAACUGUCUGACUUGAGUGCAGAAGGGGAGAGUGGAAUUCCAUGUGUAGCGGUGAAAUGCGUAGAUAUAUGGAGGAACACCAGUGGCGAAAGCGGCUCUCUGGUCUGUCACUGACGCUGAGGCUCGAAAGCGUGGGUAGCGAACAGGAUUAGAUACCCUGGUAGUCCACGCCGUAAACGAUGAGUGCUAGGUGUUAGGCCCUUUCCGGGGCUUAGUGCCGGAGCUAACGCAAUAAGCACUCCGCCUGGGGAGUACGACCGCAAGGUUGAAACUCAAAGGAAUUGACGGGGGCCCGCACAAGCG
This 576-nucleotide ribosomal RNA is filed under the name Streptococcus mutans. RNAcentral's name for it is "bacterial SSU rRNA". It matches the Rfam family "Bacterial small subunit ribosomal RNA", at positions 364 to 931 of the family's 1533-position model. The record is from RNAcentral. Lineage: Bacteria; Bacillati; Bacillota; Bacilli; Lactobacillales; Streptococcaceae.